RNAcentral lists this ribosomal RNA (508 nucleotides) under uncultured bacterium. RNAcentral's name for it is "partial 16S ribosomal RNA". It matches the Rfam family "Bacterial small subunit ribosomal RNA", at positions 30 to 523 of the family's 1533-position model. The record is from RNAcentral.
AUUGAACGCUGGCGGCAGGCCUAACACAUGCAAGUCGAGCGGCAGCGGGAAAGUAGCUUGCUACUUUUGCCGGCGAGCGGCGGACGGGUGAGUAAUGCCUGGGAAAUUGCCCAGUCGAGGGGGAUAACAGUUGGAAACGACUGCUAAUACCGCAUACGCCCUACGGGGGAAAGCAGGGGACCUUCGGGCCUUGCGCGAUUGGAUAUGCCCAGGUGGGAUUAGCUAGUUGGUGAGGUAAUGGCUCACAAAGGCGACGAUCCCUAGCUGGUCGGAGAGGAUGAUCAGCCACACUGGAACUGAGACACGGUCCAGACUCCUACGGGAGGCAGCAGUGGGGAAUAUUGCACAAUGGGGGAAACCCUGAUGCAGCCAUGCCGCGUGUGUGAAGAAGGCCUUCGGGUUGUAAAGCACUUUCAGCGAGGAGGAAAGGUUGAUGCCUAAUACGUAUCAACUGUGACGUUACUCGCAGAAGAAGCACCGGCUAACUCCGUGCCAGCAGCCGCAGUAA